AGUAGUGGAACUUGCCUUUAUCUGAAGCAUUAUUGGUCAUAUUUAUGAAAAAAGCUUGUGGCAACUGUCUUCUCUGAAUAGCGGUCUUGUGAACACCGGCCUCAGUACAAUAAAGGUAAGGUAUUUCAUCCUUAAACAGUUUUACAGUAGUAGAGCAGUUUUUGACUCAAUCAUGUGCUAUGCUUAUUUGCAAUUUCAAAUAAUUUCUUGCAGUUCCAGUAUACCUGUUACCGUAUUUCCGUGUUUGUAACUGUAUUUAUUUUCUUCCUUUCUUUUCACAAAUCUAAGAGGACACUUCACAUUCUACAACACCUAAAAAUAACCCAGAUUCGACAGAACUACACACCCAUCUGAGGCCUACCUGUUUUACUUCAUGAUCACCCCAGAUACUUCUACAAUUAACCCGCUAUGCACGGUCUGAUGAACUGUUCUUGAUCCAGAACUCUUAGCUGAACACUGAACCGUGCUGUAGAACACCUGGAGUGACGUCGCUGCUCAGGGUGUCUGAUGUUGAUGCGGUCUGGGCACUAGUAUCUGUUGGCUUGCUGACUAUCACUGAAGAUGAAGUACUUUUCCAAAUCUUCUCUGCCUUGACCCUGUGUCUUCUGCCAUCAUUGUUCAGUGUAGUACUGCAAAGAACAGUCUCCAGGGUCUACCUCCAACAUCUGCUUCCGGACCGCCAUGUGCUAUGUUUGGAUUACUGGUACAUGUGGAUUACCCUGAUACUGUGAAGAACACUUACAAUAUGAUGCUUGACUUGGGACAGAAAAAAAAAACAUUGGCAACUUGUGUGGCCAACUCAUUGCCAUUCUUAAUCUCAUCAUACUGCUACCUCUGCUGUUUAGCAUAAACAAAAGCAGACUGUUUUUGCUUUGUUUCAAAAUGUUUGUAAUACAAGUUAAAACUGCAUUGAAAUAUUUAAAAAAUAUAUUAUCUUUAACUUUGAACUG
This is a long non-coding RNA of Cyprinus carpio carpio, 950 nucleotides long. Lineage: Eukaryota; Metazoa; Chordata; Actinopteri; Cypriniformes; Cyprinidae. The record is from Ensembl.